This 1364-nucleotide long non-coding RNA is filed under the name Bos indicus x Bos taurus (hybrid cattle). RNAcentral's name for it is "lncRNA (ENSBIXG00000021922.1)". Lineage: Eukaryota; Metazoa; Chordata; Mammalia; Artiodactyla; Bovidae. The record is from RNAcentral.
UGAUCUAUGAUCACUAUCUUGUCUUAAUUCUCAAAUUUAGCUCACUUUAAUCAUGUACCUCAUCAUUUGUCUUUUAAUGACAGCUUAAAUUGAGAGUUUUAAGUGGCUCAGCAAAACAUAAUGCAAAUGGGGGGGUGGAUAAUUCCAGUUUAUUAGUGUUAUACAUAUUGAGGAAAACCUAUUAUUUUUUUCCCUCUGGAUUCAGAAAGAAAAAAUAAACCAUUUAUUUCUUGGUAUUCUGCUGCCAUAGGUAGGUUCACUUAUCUUUUAACCUAUAUUGUAUGACUGUUGUACAAGUGUAGGUCCUAUGGAGUUGCACAUUAAUCUUUACCAGUAAAAUAAGCAUCACAGGGUUAAUACCAGUUUGGCUGAAAGAAUUAUGCAGUAAAAUUAUUUAUAAGGGAAAGUGGUGACUUAGCUUAAUUUAUUCAAUAUUUUUCUUUUGAAGCAUCUCAUUACUUUUAAAAUCAUUUCAUAAUCCUUUAUACAUGAGCCAAUGAAAUAUUUUGAGCUCUAAAGAAAAGCGUGAAGUCUAUAUGAUAAAUCUGAACAACAAAAGCACUUGUAACUUGUUUUGUAAGUUACUUAUUUUCCAUUUUUGACACCGAAAAGUGCAUUUUCUGUCAACUGUGAGCAAAUUUCCCUUUUGCCUUUAAUGAAAAUAGUGCAUUAAGUAGCCAACUGCUGCAGAAUUACAGAGCAAGUUAGCUAAAGGUGGAUCACAUUGGACUACCACUCAAAGAAACAAGAUGCAUAGCAGAUGGAAGAGAUCGGGAGAGAAAAAUGCUCAUCCCCUAAACUAAGAGCUUUACUUCCAGCUCUCAUACUGUACAUGUGGAGUGUGAAAUGAUCGCUUAGCUUCUUAAUCACCUCGUUCUGUGAUGAGCCCCUGGCGCUGAGUCACAUUUCACUGGCAGUCGGUCACAGGCCAAAUAUAGAGCAGCUCUAAUUUGUUCAGUGUCUCAUGGGUCACUGAGAAAGAAUAGGGCUUGAGGACAGACUCCACUAGUCAGAUCACACAGAUCCAAAUGUGUGAUCAUAGGCUAUAACACCUAGCCAAGAACUCAUAUUUAAGAUCUUGUACUAGGGUUUUGGAGAAAGAUGCUGAGUUUGACUGUGUUUAUCAAGGAAUAUGAAAACCACGAGGGGCUGAGUUAGGAAGAAGAAGGUAAGGAGAAUUCUAGGCAAAGUAAACCCUCGAGGUUGGCACGGAAGAGCCCAGAAAGAACAUGAAGGAACCAAGCUCUACAUGAAAAAAGUUUCUUGGGUUUUGUGCUCUCCUUCUUGAAAAUCUUCAACCCUGGAAUGUUUGAUAUCAAGGUGUUCUGGUCUAAAAAGAGAAUUAUAGAACCUCAAAGGAAGUA